CACAGACUGUUUAGUCUGUUUAGUAUUUGGAAUGAACAAUUUAACCUCAGCUGCAAAACUAGGCUAGAGUUCAUAUUCUUGUAAUUGUUAUUACAGUUUCCAUGCUAUCUAAUCCUUUUAAUGCAAAUAUGCAAAUAACUUAAUAUGCAUACCAUAUUAAAGGGACCUUUAAAACAACGAGGCCGGGCGCAGUGGUUCACGCCUGUAAUCCCAGCACUUUGGGAGGCCGAGGCAGGCGAUCACCUGAGGUCAGGAGUUCGAGACCGCCUGGCCAACUUAGUGAAACCCCAUUUCUACUAAAAAUACAAAAAUUAGCCAGUGUGGUGACAUAUGCCUAUAGUCCCAGCUACUCGGGAGGCUGAAGCAGGAGAAUCACUUCAACACGGGAGGCGGAGGUUGCAGUGAGCAGAGACCGUGCCACUGUACUCCAACCUGGGCAACAGAGAAAGACUCCAUCUCAAAAAUAAAUAAAUAAAUAAAACAAUAUGAAAUGAGUUUGCCAGUGACUAUUUACAAAAGCAGAAAUCUAAGUGCUAAAGUUUGUUAAAUUGAGUGGAAGGCAAAUAAAGGCCCAUAGUUACAGUAUUAAGUAGACUUCAGAUAAAUUGAUAUUGCUGUCAUUUGUAUGUUAUAACCAUGAUUCAAAUACUGGAGGAAGAAUUAUCUUUCACAUAAAAAGCUUUUACAGGUGUUAAGAUGUAGAGUCUGUCUUCUAGGCUUAAAAUAGCUUCUUUCAUAAUUUUUUAAACAUAUGCCUUUUCAUUCAGGACAGCAGGGGGCAGCUUUAUUAGCAACGUUGAUCAGUUAAACAGUAAGUUAUUGUAAACAUCUUGUACUGCACAUUUUACCCUAAUCGGGUGGAGUCAACAAACAAAUAUCUCAAGAAGCCAGCUGGGUUCAAGUUUCAACCAAUACUUGAGAGUCUCUUUCUUAUGUUCACCUUGGGAGGCCAGUACCCAGAGCUUCAGCGAGGGGAUGAAGAGGAGAAGGAGGAAGAGAAUUCCAAGUAUGUGGCAACAUGCGUGUUUGGAGCCAGACUUCUGAGAAGAUGCCCUCAAUCACCCACAGCCUCUUUACGAGUUUUCCCCUCCAAUGUGACUUCAGUUAUUAAGAUGUCCCAAGUGAUUAGACUCACCAGCAGCCUCCUAAAUACUCAGCCAAGGAAACCUGAUAUGCUUGGGAGAGGCUAUUCGGGGGAGAAUACUUGGCAGUGGUAAAAGAAGCCUUAUGUCUGCAGAACUUUAUUCACUUCUCAGAAGUCCUUUGACUCUAUGAUAUGAGGAAGUCACUCUAAAUCUCUUUGUCUCUCUCUAACUGCAGAGGCAACAGUACCUCAUUACAGGAACUCUGUGUGAAAAAUAUUACAAAAUAUUAACAAAAUGCUUUGAAUUUCUUGUGUAUUUCACCACAUUAGAUCUAGCAAACUACCAUCCCUCACCUAGGGCAGAG
Molecule: long non-coding RNA, 1449 nt
Filed under: Macaca mulatta (Rhesus monkey)
Lineage: Eukaryota; Metazoa; Chordata; Mammalia; Primates; Cercopithecidae
Description: lncRNA (ENSMMUG00000056705.1)
Source: RNAcentral